UCCUGGCUCAGGAUGAACGCUAGCUACAGGCUUAACACAUGCAAGUCGAGGGGCAGCAUGAGCUUAGCUUGCUAAGUUUGAUGGCGACCGGCGCACGGGUGAGUAACACGUAUCCAACCUUCCCAUGACUCAGGGAUAGCCCUCUGAAAGGAGGAUUAAUACCUGAUGGUAUCAUUAGUUCGCAUGGAGUGAUGAUUAAAGAUUUAUUGGUCAUGGAUGGGGGUGCGUUCCAUUAGAUAGUUGGCGGGGUAACGGCCCACCAAGUCUACGAUGGAUAGGGGUUCUGAGAGGAAGGUCCCCCACAUUGGAACUGAGACACGGUCCAAACUCCUACGGGAGGCAGCAGUGAGGAAUAUUGGUCAAUGGACGAGAGUCUGAACCAGCCAAGUAGCGUGAAGGAUGACUGCCCUAUGGGUUGUAAACUUCUUUUAUAAAGGAAUAAAGUUCACUACGUGUAGUGUUUUGUAUGUACUUUAUGAAUAAGCAUCGGCUAACUCCGUGCC
This 503-nucleotide ribosomal RNA is filed under the name uncultured bacterium. Its description in RNAcentral is "bacterial SSU rRNA". It matches the Rfam family "Bacterial small subunit ribosomal RNA", at positions 17 to 509 of the family's 1533-position model. The record is from RNAcentral.